Molecule: ribosomal RNA, 253 nt
Filed under: uncultured bacterium
Lineage: Bacteria
Description: partial 16S ribosomal RNA
Rfam family: Bacterial small subunit ribosomal RNA
Source: RNAcentral
UACGGAGGGGGCUAGCGUUGUUCGGAAUUACUGGGCGUAAAGCGCGCGUAGGCGGACCUGCAAGUCGGGGGUGAAAGCCCGAGGCUCAACCUCGGAACUGCCUUCGAUACUGCGGGUCUCGAGUCCGGGAAAGGUGAGUGGAAUUCCCAGUGUAGAGGUGAAAUUCGUAGAUAUUAGGAAGAACACCAGUGGCGAAGGCGGCUCACUGGCUCGGUACUGACGCUGAGGCGCGAAAGCGUGGGGAGCAAACAGG